GACGAACGCUGGCGGCGUGCCUAAUACAUGCAAGUAGAACGCUGAAGAGAGGAGCUUGCUCUUCUUGGCUGAGUUGCGAACGGGUGAGUAACGCGUAGGUAACCUGCCUUGUAGCGGGGGAUAACUAUUGGAAACGAUAGCUAAUACCGCAUAACAAUGGAUGACACAUGUCAUUUAUUUGAAAGGGGCAAUUGCUCCACUACAAGAUGGACCUGCGUUGUAUUAGCUAGUAGGUGAGGUAACGGCUUACCUAGGCAACGAUACAUAGCCGACCUGAGAGGGGGAUCGGCCACACUGGGAAUGAGAAACGGCCCAGAAUCCUACGGGAGGCAGCAGUAGGGAAUCUUCGGCAAUGGGGGCAAGCCUGACCGAGCAACGCCGCGUGAGUGAAGAAGGUUUUCGGAUCGUAAAGCUCUGUUGUAAGUCAAGAACGAGUGUGAGAGUGGAAAGGUCACACUGGGACGGUAGAUUACAGAAAGGGACGGCUAACUACGUG
This 496-nucleotide ribosomal RNA is filed under the name uncultured bacterium. RNAcentral's name for it is "partial 16S ribosomal RNA". It matches the Rfam family "Bacterial small subunit ribosomal RNA", at positions 28 to 507 of the family's 1533-position model. The record is from RNAcentral.